UCCUCGAUGGUCUAACGGUCAUGAUUUCCGCUUGUCAAGCUUACCAGCUGCGAGCGCGGGAGACCUGGGUUCGACUCCCAGUCGGGGAG
Aspergillus ustus is the source of this 89-nucleotide transfer RNA. It matches the Rfam family "tRNA". Rfam says of the family: Transfer RNA (tRNA) molecules are approximately 80 nucleotides in length. Their secondary structure includes four short double-helical elements and three loops (D, anti-codon, and T loops). The record is from Rfam. Lineage: Eukaryota; Fungi; Ascomycota; Eurotiomycetes; Eurotiales; Aspergillaceae.